UUCAAUAAAUAUCAUAAGGACCUAAGAGCUACGGUUCAGCAGCUCAAAGUUAGGUUAGUAGAUCUAUUUCAUUUUAUAUAUUUUCAUUUGUAUGGUUGUAUAUAUAUACUAGUCAACAAAAGAAAUGAUACAAGGCAACGUAUUUUCCAUAUAUAAUGAAAUUGGAUACACUGCACCAAGGUAAAUAAUUGCCCAAUUGGUCUAAUAUUUACAAAGUGUUAUAUUCUUACCAAAAUCAUUGAUUUAAGGGAAAUACAUGAAUUUUUUGUUGAUGCCAUUUUAUUUCAAAAAUCGUAUUUUCACCCAAAAAUUCAAAAAUCGAUAUUAGAACUUAAACUUAUGCAUGGUCUGCUUAAAAUUUUGAAUGCCUUUGCAGAUAUCUGAAUACUUAAUUUUCAUCUUCGAAAUUAAGUGCUGACUUUUGUCAUCAUUUUCCGCAAAAUAAAUUUGACCCCUAUGUUAUAUAACACGGUAGUUUCUCACUUUCCAAUUUGGUCAGAUUCUUUUAAUCAUAUGCAUUUGCUUUGGAUAAUUUAACAGUUUUUCCUGUUUUAUUAUAUUUCAUGAUAAAUUGGAGUUCAAACUUGUGUAUCGUUACUUUUGUUGACUAGUAUAUUUAUAUUUCAUUUCAGAGUUCACUCACAGAUGUUUAAUUUGUAAUUUUGGAAUUUUGCAGAUUCAGCUUAGAGAGGAUUUUUCAGUAGUCGACCUUUAAUAUGGCUAAUAGACCAGGAAGAGUGGCAUAUAGAUUAGGCGGGUGGGGAGCAAGAAGGUUCUUUCUGUACGUGACAUGUUUUCAUGGUGUUGGGAAUUAGACUUUGGGGUCUAAUACAUCUAAAAGGAAGGUUAACAUCACAGUUGGUCCGUAAGGAUUGAGGUUGGGAAUGGCAAUUGGAGCUGACUUUUAUGGUAACUUUAACAGUGGCUGCAUGAAAAUGAUUGGGUGACUGUACCAGUAAAGAAUGUAAUUCAGACAAUUUUUGUGUAUGUUUGAGAAAAUGUUUAUAAUUUUUUACAAAAAAAAAAAUAGUGUAAAGAUUUUCCAUUUUCAACAAGAUUGUAAGUUAUAGAUAACUUAUUUUGAAUUUUAAAAUCUCUCUUUUUACCAUUAAAACCAAAGGAUAUACUCAGGUAGCUCUACUCAUGUCCAUUCUUGACAAUUUUUUUGUCAUGCAUAUUGAUACUGAACUGGUUUUUGUCUCACCUUGACGGAGUCGAAAAGCGAGACAUAGGUAUGCUGUUUCUGGCGGCGGCGGCGGCGUCAACAAUGUAUUAGUUUGUGAUUAGGUCUAGUUUAUGGUGAAUCACUAGCGGUAGGUCAAUGAUAUUUGGUAUGCAGUUGAAUUAGCAUUGGCACAUCUCAUUACCAUGGAGAUUAUUUGGCCCUGCCCCCUCAGUCAUGGUUUAUUGACUUUGAAACUUUGCUUAGUUUUCAUGUAUUAGUUUGUGAUUAGGUCAGUUUAUGGGGAACCACUAGUGGUAGGUCAAUGAUAUUUGGUAUGCAGUUGUAUAAGCAUUGGCAUAACUCAUUUCCAUGAAGAUUAUUUGGCCCCGCCCUUCAGUCAUGGUCUAUUGACUUUGAAACUUUUGCUUAGUUUACAAGUUAGUAUUUAUGUUUAGGUUUCUUUAAAGGGAAUGACUUAUGAAAAGUCAAUGGUAUUUGGUAUGCAGUCGUAUUAGCAUUGGCUUAUCUCAUUUCCAUGGAGAUUGUUUAGCCCUGUACCUUUAGUCAUGGUUCAUUGACUUUGAAUAUUUGCAUAACUUACAUGUAAAAGUAUUGUUAUUUUAAUUUCAACAUUUGCAUUAUCAAAAUAACAAAUAGGCGAGACAUAUCUCUGUGUUAACAGUUUAUUGGUAUGUAUAGUUUUGUUUUGAGUUCAUAGUUCAGAUUGUAUUCAUUAUUUUUUUCCCCCUGUGGCUAGAUUUAAUUGGUACUUUGAAAAUGAAUUGAAAUUGACCACUUUUAUUUGAAGACCUACUCUUUUAGAUAUAUUAAUAAUGGUCCAUGUCUAGUCAAAACACUUCCAGAAGUUAAGAAUGGAGAAUCUUAAAAUAAAAGAAAAAAUGAAAUGUAUAUUUUGGCUUUCACCGUUGUUAAAUAUAUAUCUGUUCCGAAUGUUUUUGUUUUUUUAUGCCCCUGCCAUAGAGAAAGGAGGCAUUAAGUGUUACCCUUGAUGUCCUUCUGUCCUUUUGUUGUUCCUUUUGUCCCAUUUUUGUUUCCGCACUAUUUUUUAAGAGUAAUGCCCCUUUAUCAGUUGGAAAAUUGCAAAUUUGGGCAUUGAGUCACUAAAUUU
Molecule: long non-coding RNA, 2294 nt
Organism: Mytilus californianus (California mussel)
Lineage: Eukaryota; Metazoa; Mollusca; Bivalvia; Mytilida; Mytilidae
Exons: 4
Source: RefSeq, a predicted model, not a curated record